CCGAGUUUACAACUCCCAAACCCCUGUGAACAUACCACUUGUUGCCUCGGCGGAUCAGCCCGCUCCCGGUAAAACGGGACGGCCCGCCAGAGGACCCCUAACUCUGUUUCUAUAUGUAACUUCUGAGUAAAACCAUAAAUAAAUCA
This 146-nucleotide unclassified non-coding RNA is filed under the name soil metagenome. RNAcentral describes it as "partial internal transcribed spacer 1". The record is from RNAcentral.